CUUGCAAACUGGAGAUGGCGACCGGCGCACGGGUGAGUAACACGUAUCCAACCUGCCGAUAACUCGGGGAUAGCCUUUCGAAAGAAAGAUUAAUACCCGAUGGCAUAAUUAGACCGCAUGGUCUUAUUAUUAAAGAAUUUCGGUUAUCGAUGGGGAUGCGUUCCAUUAGGCAGUUGGUGAGGUAACGGCUCACCAAACCUUCGAUGGAUAGGGGUUCUGAGAGGAAGGUCCCCCACAUUGGAACUGAGACACGGUCCAAACUCCUACGGGAGGCAGCAGUGAGGAAUAUUGGUCAAUGGACGAGAGUCUGAACCAGCCAAGUAGCGUGAAGGAUGACUGCCCUAUGGGUUGUAAACUUCUUUUAUAUGGGAAUAAAGUUUUCCACGUGUGGAAUUUUGUAUGUACCAUAUGAAUAAGGAUCGGCUAACUCCGUGCCAGCAGCCGCGGUAAUACGGAGGAUCCGAGCGUUAUCCGGAUUUAUUGGGUUUAAAGGGAGCGUAGGUGGACAGUUAAGUCAGUUGUGAAAGUUUGCGGCUCAACCGUAAAAUUGCAGUUGAUACUGGCUGUCUUGAGUACAGUAGAGGUGGGCGGAAUUCGUGGUGUAGCGGUGAAAUGCUUAGAUAUCACGAAGAACUCCGAUUGCGA
This 645-nucleotide ribosomal RNA is filed under the name uncultured Bacteroidales bacterium. RNAcentral's name for it is "bacterial SSU rRNA". It matches the Rfam family "Bacterial small subunit ribosomal RNA", at positions 75 to 718 of the family's 1533-position model. The record is from RNAcentral. Lineage: Bacteria; Pseudomonadati; Bacteroidota; Bacteroidia; Bacteroidales.